This 73-nucleotide transfer RNA is filed under the name Agrilus planipennis (emerald ash borer). It matches the Rfam family "tRNA". From Rfam's summary of the family: Transfer RNA (tRNA) molecules are approximately 80 nucleotides in length. Their secondary structure includes four short double-helical elements and three loops (D, anti-codon, and T loops). The record is from Rfam by way of RNAcentral. Lineage: Eukaryota; Metazoa; Arthropoda; Insecta; Coleoptera; Buprestidae.
CCUCUCGUAGCUUAGUGGUCAGAGCGUAGGUGAGUAAAGCCAAAGGUCCCGGGUUCGAUUCCCAGCGAGAGUG